CUCUUUAUUUCGAUUUCAUAUUGUCUAUGAAAGUCAUGAGGAACUAAUCUCCUUGUGGGGGAUUACCAAGUGGAGGUAUGAUCUAUUAAUUGUUUUAUAAGGUUACUCAACAGAUCAACUGUUAUGGAAAGGAAGAACGUGAAACAAACACUGGGCCUAACAACCCCGAAAAGUCAUCAAGGUGGAAAUUAACUGAAAAUUGGUAUUGUCCAUUUGUGAACACUUUCACCUCAAACUAGUUUGAACUGUGAGAUCAAAAGAUAAGUAGUUCUUGCUGACUCGUUAUAUUAGUGGAAGAUUGGAAGAUCCUGCUAGGGUAGCGACUAGUUGAUUGACGAGAAACCUGAGGUAACAGUUGAUGAGGAUUAUCGAAGCAAGCUAAUCACCCAUAAUCAAGAUUUCAUUUACUCUUCUAUCUCCUAAUUUUAUUUACUAUAUGUUAUUUUAAUUUCUUAUUCUGAACACUUAAAAAACCCCUCUUUUAUGCUCUUAUAGUAUAAUUUAUUUAAAGUACUAACUAGAUCUUUUAGUAUUUAGGUUAAAAUUGAUCUAGCGCUCGCCUGUAUUAGGUACAAUCCUCGGAGUACUCACCUACUUCGUUGUAAAAAUAUAUUACAACUUGACCCAUAUACUUUCAGAUACUGUCUUUUCGUUCUAUAUUUUAUUGCAGUAUUAUGUCUAGAGGCAACCUUUAACUCUUUUUGACCAUGUGGUUCAUCCUAUACUUAAAAUAAAAAUAUACAACCGUGUGACAACCCGUGUCCCAGGUCGUAUGCUCUCUAAAUUACCCCUAAUGCAAGCCUUACACACCAAGCCAAUCAAUUUCUAGAUACUUUCACAUGAUUAAAUUACAUUCAAGGACACCAAAAAAAUGCCAAAAAUCAUUCAUCCUAUUUCUAACCAAUAUGCUAUCAAUAGGCACCACAAUUCAUACACCAAAUCAACUCAAGUACAAAACUAAAAAUCCACACCUUAAACAUAUAACAAUCAUACCAAAAAGUCAUUUCAUUCUCAGUAUAAACCAUAAUGACUUUAACACUUUCCAUAGGCAUAACCAAAGUGUCCAUAAAACACCUAAUUUUAGACAUUUACAAGCAAAACAAAAAACAUAUAUGCAAGUAGCUACAAGUAAGAUCAAUUCACACCAUAUUGGAAAAAUAGCUCAAAACACCUAUUACAUGUCAUUUAUAACCAUCAACUAAGUAAUAAAAAACUACCAAAGAGAAGGAUGGAUAGUGUGAUUGUACUCCGACGAGAUUCCAAUCGAUCGAGCUUUUCGAUGAUCUACAAGAAAAAGAAAACAACUACAUAGGCAACUAGUACUUAGUAAGCUCGUAUAAAGGAAACUUAAACUUACCGAACAUAUUAUGUUUAAAACAACCAACCAUAAUUUCAUUAAAUCAUAAGCAUAAUUUUGUUUCCUAAACACACUUCACAGGGUUGGUAAGUGUAUAAAUCAACAUAUAAAUCCAACCAACUUAUGGAACAUACCACAAUAAGCAUUCAAUAUAUAUUUCAUCCAUCAUGUAUUUAAAUAAUACCCUUUUCAUUUCAAGCACAUACAUCAACAUUUUUCAUUUCAUCUUGUAAUAACAUUGACCAUUUCAUAUACUUACAUAUUCAGAUUAAACUUUAAUCACCCAUCGAACCAAAUGGAAUAUCAUUAGAUACUCGAGAAUUGCUUACAUAAGCUGUGAUUGGAACAUGUAAUCAUAUAUGCUCACAAGAGCUGUGGGUCGCGAUGUUAAGCUACACGAUGCUGCUCACACGAGCCGUGGGGAAUUGACAACAAAUGUAGGACCCCAGCUAUCGGUAGAACAUCCAAGACCAGCACCCGAAAUCGUAUAACCCCUAAUGACAUGUCAUUUGUAUCUUAAGUUUUCACAAGGCUCAAAUGGGACUAUUGUACAAAUCCAAUUAUUUUAUUUUCAUUACAUAAUGCUAUUCAAACAUGCUUUAAGGAAAUAUACAUUCUCAAAUAUAACAUUCAAUUUAACUAACAUCAUAAUUUGAUCCAAUAUAAAAAUAUCAUACAACUAUCAAUCAAAAUUAUACAUAGCAUAAUAUUUAUUAACAUUACAUUCAAAACAUCAUUUAAUAAGUUUAAUACUUAUAUAAACUUACCUCGACAAAAACGGUUGCAAAAACAAAGUCGACAACUAGUUUGAAACUUUAGUUUUUCCUCAAUUUAAAUUCGAUUAUUGCGUUUCUUGAUCUAAAUAGUAUUUUCAUUCAAUUAAUACUAUUCUAGAACUUAAAUAAGUAAUUUUAUACAGUUAACCCCUUCCAUCAUUAUUUUAAAAAAUUACCCUAAUAUUUUAACUUUUGUAUGAUUUAGUCUCUAAACCUAAAACUUGUAAAAUUACGAUUUUAAAAGAAAAACCAUAGUAGUUGGUUUUCCUAGGGGUCAAUUACAGCCCAUAUCUUUCAUUAAUUCACCCUAUUUUCAUUGGAUUUUAAUAUUUUAACAAUUUAAUCCUUAAAUAUUAAAAUUAUUAAAAAUCACUUAACAAAUUACUUCUUUUUAGCUACCAACCUUAAUAAUCUAUCAACUAAGUUCAAAAACACUUUAAUUUUAUCAAUGGCAAAAAACGUUUAACAAUUUUACAAAUUAACCCUCGGGUUAGCUAGAUUAAGCUAAUAUAGUAACAGAAACAUAAAAAUCAUUAAAAAUAGACUGAAACUUCAUACCAUGCAAUUGAAAUUUCUUUGGUCGAAGCUUGCUCCUCCCUUGGCUAUGGUUUUUCCGUUCUAGGGUGAAAGAAAGGAUGAAAAUGAUGAUUAUUUCAUAUUGUUUUACUUUACUAUUUACCUAAAAUUAUUAUUUUUAAUUAUUCUUCAUCUAUCUGCUCCUUUGUAGUACAUUUCUAAAAUAAGACCUUGGUUUUUCUCUAUUUUUUUUAUUUUUCGCUAGAUCUGGUGGUUUUUUAUUCUUUAGUUUGGGUUUUGUUUGUAUAUGAAGGAAUCUAAAAUAGAGGCUAACAUGGCCAAGUUGCGUAUAUCGGAUGGGAAGAAGGAGAAAGUCCUACAGAUUGAGGGAAUUUUCGAGGGAAAUCACAGGCUGUAUGAUCUAUGCUUUGUGGGUUUCCUUACUGCUAGUGUGGUUUAAUUUCAAGUUAUGUGAAAUACGUUAGCAAAUCUCUGGCAUCCUUUAAGAGACAUUGAGAUCUCGGAUCUAGGGGAGAAGAGAUUUUUGUUUAGGUUUUCUCAUCAGGUUGAUUUCGAGUGAGUGAUAAAAGGGGCGCCCUAGACUUUUAAGAAUCGUCUAUUGAUUUUUCAUCGGUUUCUAAGAAGAAAGAGGGUGAGCAAUUUCUAGCUUAUCAAACUAAUUUAUCGGCAAUCACUUGGGGGCAUGUCGACCGACAUCAAUGAAGAUUAUGAGUUGGAAUGUUCAUGGAUUGAGGAGUCCAUGAGUAUUAAGGAGGCUUCAACAUAUGUUGAAACUUCACAAUUCCUAAGUUGUCUUAUUGAUGGAGUUGAAGUUGGAUUCUGUCAGAAUGGAGAGAGUGUGUCAUCUGAGGGGUUUGUGCAUGGUAUUGAUGUUCCAGUAGUGGGUACGAAGGGGCUUUAGUUUUGGGUGGAAGAUUGAUAUUGACAUUAAUUUGUGAAAUUUUUUUACUAACCAUAUUGAUGUGGAUAUUUAUGGUCCUGAUGAUGGAAUUAAUUUGAGGCUAACAGGGUUUUAUGGCUCUCCUAAUAUGAGAAACUGUAGUACAUCUUGGCAUCUACUUCGAAGCUUAGGGAGGGAUUAGAAUUUGUCGUGGUUGGUACAUUUUACUCUUUUAAAAAGAAAGGGAGUGUUUUGCGUGAUGAUAGAAGGAUAGGAGAGUUUCAACGGGUGUUGAGGGACUUCCAAUUGGAGGAUUUAGGUUUUAAAGGUCCUUCGUUUACUUGCGAGAUGGGUAACUUUGAGCAUAAUAAUAUAAUGGAAAGGUUGGAUAGGGUAGUUACGAAUUUUGCUUGGCGGGUAAAGUUUCCAAAUUUUGUGGUGUGCCACUUGCCUCACUCAUUUGUUGAUCAUUGUCCUCUAUUGUUGGUAAUAGAUAAGGGGGAGGGGAAUAUUCAGAGUAAUCAUUUUCGGUUUGAAGCAUCUUGGACGUUAGAAGAUUCAUGUGAAGCUAAAGUUCGUAAACUUUGGGAGCAGAGUAGGGGUACUCUUCCACAUCGGCUUGAGUUGUUGGGGCAUGGUUUGGAAUCUUGGGCUGAUAGGUUGAGAAAGGAGAAGGGUAGAAGGUAGAGGCAUCUUUGUAGAAAGAUUGAGGAAUUUAACUUGGGCGAAUGGGAUAAUGAUAGCAUUUUCAAUCUUAUGGAGAGUAAAAUUGAUUUGAAUUUGGAGUUAGAGAAAGAAGGAAUGUAUUGGGAGCAAAGAGCACGUGUGAAUUAGUUAAAGCAUGGUGAUCGUAAUAUGAGUUUCGUUCAUCGUAUAACAUUUCAAAGGAAAAGGAUGAACAUGGUGAAAUGGUUGGAUAAGGGAGAUGGUCAUGUAACUAGUGAUGUAGGGGAGGUGAAUGAAAUUGCCAGGGAGUAUUUUAUGGAGUUAUUUACCUUUUAGGGAUUGUGUGAUUCUGAUCAUAUUUUGGGGGGUGUUAAUGGGUGUAUUUUGGAGGACAUGAAUCAAUGCCUCACGACCUGAUAUGAAAGAGAUAAGAUGCUUAUAACAAAGAAAGCAAUGGUGCCCACAAAGGCGUCAGGACCUAAUGGUUUUCCUGCUCUAUUCUUUCAAAAUUAUUGGCAUAUUGUAAGAGAGGAGGUGGGAACUUAUUGUGUUAAUACCGAAAACAUCAAAACCGAAUAAUAUGAAAAAUUUUCACCCUAUAAGGCUCUGCUCGGUGUUGCAUAAAAUUAUCUCUAAAACCGUGGCUAAUCAUUUCCAAAAAGUUCUAAGUUGUUGUAUUGAUGAAGCGCAAAGUGCUUUCAUUCCUAAGAGGUUAAUUAUUGAUAAUAUUUUGCUUGCGUAUGAGAUCUUAGAGGUGUUUAAAUGGAAAAGGAUUGGUAUGAAGGGUUAUUUUCCCCUUAAACUCGAUAUGAGUAAGACAUAUAAUGGGGUGGAAUGGGAGUUCUUGAGGAAGAUGCUUUUGAAGAUGGGUUUUGUGGAAAGAUGGGUUGGUUUUAUUCAUAAUUGUGUGAGCUCAGUAACCUGUUCUGUAAUUCUCAAUGGAGAGGUGAGUCAAAGGUUUUCACCCCGGAGGGGACUUCGUGAAAGAGAUUUGCUUAGCCCGAUUUGUUUUUAAUAUAAAGUGAAUGUUUAUCCUCGAUGCGCGUGGCAAGUCAGAGUAGAUUAAUCAAAGGCGCAAGAAUCGGUAGGGGGACCAAAAAUUUCUUAUAUUCUGUUUGCUGAAGAUUGUAUCUUAUUAGGGGGUUACGUGAGAGAAGCAAUGUUUCUACAAUAGAUUCUUAAAGAAUACAAGGAAGCGUUGGGCCAAUGUGUUAAUUAUGAAAAAUUUGCUAUCUAUUUCAGUUCAAAUGUGGGGGAUGAUAUAAGGUAUGAGAUAUCAAGGUGCUUGGAGGUUAGUAUUUCAACUGACCCUUAAAGAUACUUAGACUUAACUAUUAUGGUUGGAAUGAGUGAAAGGCGGGCGUUUCAAGGAUUGAAGGACCGUAUGCGGUGUCGCAUUAACAAUUGGUGUGUGAAAGCAUUGUCUCAAGGGGAAAAUAAGUUUUUAUAAAGAGUGUUCUACAAGCUAUUCUCACUUUAACGAUGUCUUGCUUUUUAUUACCAACUUCAUUAUGUCAAGAUCUAGAGCAUAUUAUCUCUCAUUAUUUGUGGCAAAAAUUUUAUGGUAAGCAAAGGAUUCAUUGGUGUGCAUGGUCUAUGUUGUGUUCAUUGAAACACCAUGGUGGGAUGGGUUUUCAAGAUCUUAGUAAGUUUAAUUUUGCUCUUUUGGCCAAGUAGGGUUGGCGAUUAAUUAAAGAUCAGAGUUUAUUAUUGGCGCGAUUGUUUAAAGCUAAAUAUUACCCUAAUUUUGAUUUUUUGAAAGCUAGUUUAUGAGUCUACCCAUCUUAUACCUAAAAGAGUAUAUGAUCUACAAAGGGUCUGCUUCUGAGGGCCUGGGCUAGCAAGUGGGCACAGGCACAAGCAUUGACAUAUAAGAGGAUAGCUGGGUCCCUGGUCUACCUAUACAAAAAAUUCAGGCUAUGGAUGAGAACAUACAUUAUAGAAAAACAUCUGAUUUAAUUGUUCAUCAAGAACGGGUGUGGGAUGUGGGAAUAAUUACUAGUUGUUUUGAUCUUGAUGUGGCGAGUAGGAUUCAAUGUAUUCCUCUUGCCUCGCAUCCUCAACCGGAUAUGGUGGUUUGGCGAGUUGAACCCGCAGGUGAGUAUACCAUUCAGAGCAGUUACAGAUUAUUACAAGGAAAUAAAGAGUUAAAUGAAAAUGCAGUGGAUUGUUACAAUAUUUUUUACAAGAAGCUAUGGAAACUAAAAAUUCCAAAAAAGGUUAAAAUCACAGUCUGACGCAUUUCCAAGAAUCUAAUUCCUAAUUCACACAACUUGUACAAUAGACGCUUGGUGGGUUCUACGAUUUGCCCAAAGUGUGUACGGGGUGUGGAGGAUUUGGAGCAUGACUUUCGGGAUUAUCCUUUUGUUGCUGUUGUUGGGACCUAUUGAAUAUUAAAUGGAAUGGUGAAGAGGGCGGUCACAAUUUUCAAGAUUGGUUACUGAGAAUGUUUCAUAACUCUUCGGAAUAUACCCAUAGGCAGAUUUCAUGUAUGAUCUGGUUCCUCUAGUUAGAGAGAAAUAAAUGGGUGCAUGACAGAUCGUUUGCCUCGUCAUAAUAGAUUGUAAGUAAGAUUUCGUCCUAUAUGUAUGAACUUAAUGUAAUUGAGAAGAAAUUACCUGUUACGAAAGUGGGUUUUGAGAGGUGGAGACCACUAGAUGAACCUUUCGUUAAGAUAAAUUUUGAUCCGGCAUUUCAUGUUCUUACUUCAAAUUCCUGUUCAGGGAUAAUUAUCAAAGAUGGUAGAUCUAGAACUAUUGUUGAAAAAGUAACUGUAAAUGGAAACAUACCGUCGGUCUUUGCGGCUGAGGCACUUGCAUGCCUUUAAGCGCUUAGAUUGGGGGUGGAUCUUGGUUUUAAAAGGGUGGUGGUGGAAGGGGAUUCUCUUUCUGUGAUAAAGAAAACGAACUCAAGUUGUGUUGAUAGAUCAGCAUUGGGGCGUAUAUUCAUGACAUUAGAAUUGAACAACGAAAAUUUGGAGACUGUGAGGUUAUUUAUGUCCCCGAGAGGUGAACAUAUUGGCUUAUUUCCUAGUACAAGAGGGAUGGAGAAGGGGAGAUGGUCUAAAUCUGGAAAAUAGUUACCUGGUAGAGAUGGUGGCUUUGAACUGUAGGGGUGUUGGAGAGGACGACGGAGCGGGUGUUGGAAUGGCUUGUGGGUAGUUGAUGUUUUAUUCAAAAGGGUUUUGGUGAUGGGGAUUUUUUAUGAGGGCGAUAAGAACGAUUGGUUUUCUGAAAGCAGGGAUUAAAGGAAAUGGCGGUUUCCAAUGGUUUUCUGACCUACUCCUGUUGUUUGUAGUCUCCCAUGGUCUACACGUGUAUUCAAUAUGGUGCGUGGCUUUUCUGUCUAGGCUGGAGUUGCUUGUUUUGUUUUCUUUUUGCUGCUAUUUGUUUUUCCGAGCUUUUGUUUCAACUGUUUU
RNAcentral lists this long non-coding RNA (7634 nucleotides) under Gossypium barbadense (sea-island cotton). Its description in RNAcentral is "long non-coding RNA (GBAR_LNC019095)". Lineage: Eukaryota; Viridiplantae; Streptophyta; Magnoliopsida; Malvales; Malvaceae. The record is from RNAcentral.